UCGGGAAUAUUGCGCAAUGGAGGAAACUCUGACGCAGUGACGCCGCGUAUGGGAAGAAGGUUUUCGGAUUGUAAACCAUUUUAGACAAGGAAGAAACAAGACAGUACUUGUAGAAUAAGCUCCGGCUAACUACGUGCCAGCAGCCGCGGUAAUACGUAGGGAGCAAGCGUUAUCCGGAUUUAUUGGGUGUAAAGGGUGCGUAGACGGGAAGGUAAGUUAGUUGUGAAAUCCCUCGGCUCAACUGAGGAACUGCGACUAAAACUGCUUUUCUUGAGUGCUGGAGAGGAAAGUGGAAUUCCUAGUGUAGCGGUGAAAUGCGUAGAUAUUAGGAGGAACACCAGUGGCGAAGGCGACUUUCUGGACAGUAACUGACGUUGAGGCACGAAAGUGUGGGGAGCAAACAGGAUUAGAUACCCUGGUAGUCCACACCGUAAACGAUGGAUACUAGGUGUAGGGGAUAUUAAGUCUUCUGUGCCGUCGCAAACGCAGUAAGUAUCCCACCUGGGGAGUACGGCCGCAAGGUUGAAACUCAAAGGAAUUGACGGGGGCCCGCACAAGCAGUGGAGUAUGUGGUUUAAUUCGACGCAACGCGAAGAACCUUACCAAGGCUUGACAUAUACAGGAAUAACUAAGAAAUUAGUUAGCUCUUCGGAGUCUGUAUACAGGUGGUGCAUGGUUGUCGUCAGCUCGUGUCGUGAGAUGUUGGGUUAAGUCCCGCAACGAGCGCAACCCCCAAUAUUAGUUGCCAGCGAGUAAUGUCGGGAACUCUAAUAUGACUGCCGGUGAUAAAUCGGAGGAAGGUGGGGACGACGUCAAAUCAUCAUGCCCUUUAUGUCUUGGGCUACACACGUACUACAAUGGCUAUAACAAAGAGAAGCGAAAUAGUGAUAUGGAGCAAAACUCAAAAAAAUAGUCUCAGUUCGGAUUGAAGGCUGAAAUUCGCCUUCAUGAAGCUGGAAUUGCUAGUAAUGGCAGGUCAGCAUACUGCCGUGAAUACGUUCCC
RNAcentral lists this ribosomal RNA (1003 nucleotides) under uncultured bacterium. RNAcentral's name for it is "bacterial SSU rRNA". It matches the Rfam family "Bacterial small subunit ribosomal RNA", at positions 355 to 1375 of the family's 1533-position model. The record is from RNAcentral.